This 73-nucleotide transfer RNA is filed under the name Candidatus Cryptobacteroides aphodequi. RNAcentral's name for it is "tRNA-Pro". It matches the Rfam family "tRNA". From Rfam's summary of the family: Transfer RNA (tRNA) molecules are approximately 80 nucleotides in length. Their secondary structure includes four short double-helical elements and three loops (D, anti-codon, and T loops). Lineage: Bacteria; Pseudomonadati; Bacteroidota; Bacteroidia; Bacteroidales. The record is from RNAcentral.
CGGGGUGUGGCGCAGUUGGUAGCGCACCUGCUUUGGGAGCAGGGGGUCGCAGGUUCGAGUCUUGUCACCCCGA